Transfer RNA from Archaeoglobus veneficus SNP6, 75 nucleotides. It matches the Rfam family "tRNA". From Rfam's summary of the family: Transfer RNA (tRNA) molecules are approximately 80 nucleotides in length. Their secondary structure includes four short double-helical elements and three loops (D, anti-codon, and T loops). Further hydrogen bonds mediate the characteristic L-shaped molecular structure. tRNAs have two regions of fundamental functional importance: the anti-codon, which is responsible for specific mRNA codon recognition, and the 3' end, to which the tRNAs corresponding amino acid is attached (by aminoacyl-tRNA synthetases). tRNAs cope with the degeneracy of the genetic code in two manners: having more than one tRNA (with a specific anti-codon) for a particular amino acid; and 'wobble' base-pairing, i.e. permitting non-standard base-pairing at the 3rd anti-codon position. The record is from Rfam. Lineage: Archaea; Methanobacteriati; Methanobacteriota; Archaeoglobi; Archaeoglobales; Archaeoglobaceae.
GCUCCGGUGGUGUAGCCCGGCCAAUCAUACCGGCCUUUCGAGCCGGCGACCCGGGUUCAAAUCCCGGCCGGAGCA